RNAcentral lists this ribosomal RNA (777 nucleotides) under Gloeoporus thelephoroides. RNAcentral's name for it is "LSU rRNA". It matches the Rfam family "Eukaryotic large subunit ribosomal RNA", at positions 77 to 840 of the family's 3401-position model. The record is from RNAcentral. Lineage: Eukaryota; Fungi; Basidiomycota; Agaricomycetes; Polyporales; Irpicaceae.
CCCCUAGUAACUGCGAGUGAAGCGGGAAGAGCUCAAAUUUAAAAUCUGGCAGUCUUUGAUUGUCCGAGUUGUAGUCUAGAGAAGCGUUUUCCGCGUUGGACCGUGUACAAGUCUCUUGGAACAGAGCGUCAUAGAGGGUGAGAAUCCCGUCCAUGACACGGACUACCAAUGCUUUGUGAUGCGCUCUCAAAGAGUCGAGUUGUUUGGGAAUGCAGCUCAAAAUGGGUGGUAAAUUCCAUCUAAAGCUAAAUAUUGGCGAGAGACCGAUAGCGAACAAGUACCGUGAGGGAAAGAUGAAAAGCACUUUGGAAAGAGAGUUAAACAGUACGUGAAAUUGCUGAAAGGGAAACGCUUGAAGUCAGUCGCGUUAUUCAGAACUCAGCCUAGCCUCGGCUUGGUGCAUUUUCUGUUUAACGGGCCAGCAUCAGUUUUGACUGCCGGAAAAAGAUGAAGGGAAUGUGGCACCCUCGGGUGUGUUAUAGCCUUUUGUUGUAUACGGUGGUUGGGACUGAGGUUCGCAGCACGCCUUUAUGGCCGGGGUUCGCCCACGUUCGUGCUUAGGAUGCUGGCGUAAUGGCUUUAAACGACCCGUCUUGAAACACGGACCAAGGAGUCUAACAUGCCUGCGAGUAUUUGGGUGGAAAACCCGAGUGCGUAAUUAAAGUGAAAGUUGGGAUCCCUGUCGUGGGGAGCACCGACGCCCGGACCAGACCUUCUGUGACGGAUCUGCGGUAGAGCAUGUAUGUUGGGACCCGAAAGAUGGUGAACUAUGCCUGA